This 72-nucleotide transfer RNA is filed under the name Camelus bactrianus (Bactrian camel). It matches the Rfam family "tRNA". Rfam says of the family: Transfer RNA (tRNA) molecules are approximately 80 nucleotides in length. Their secondary structure includes four short double-helical elements and three loops (D, anti-codon, and T loops). Further hydrogen bonds mediate the characteristic L-shaped molecular structure. tRNAs have two regions of fundamental functional importance: the anti-codon, which is responsible for specific mRNA codon recognition, and the 3' end, to which the tRNAs corresponding amino acid is attached (by aminoacyl-tRNA synthetases). tRNAs cope with the degeneracy of the genetic code in two manners: having more than one tRNA (with a specific anti-codon) for a particular amino acid; and 'wobble' base-pairing, i.e. permitting non-standard base-pairing at the 3rd anti-codon position. RNAcentral also lists the same sequence under 2 other names. The record is from Rfam by way of RNAcentral. Lineage: Eukaryota; Metazoa; Chordata; Mammalia; Artiodactyla; Camelidae.
GGGGGUAUAGCUCAGUGGCAGAUCACGUGCUUAGCAUGCUCAAGGUCCUGGGUUGAAACCCCAGUCCCUCCA